This 1121-nucleotide long non-coding RNA is filed under the name Marmota monax (woodchuck). The record is from RNAcentral. Lineage: Eukaryota; Metazoa; Chordata; Mammalia; Rodentia; Sciuridae.
GCUCAACAUCAGCCUAGGAAUAGGAUGCAGUAAGGAAGGAACGGAGGAUGGAGGAAAUGACGGACACAAGGCAGAGGGAGUGUAUGGGGAGGCGUGCUGCCUGCCCCCAACUCAGAUCUGCCUCUCCAGCAGGAAGGUUCUAGAGCAAUCCUCUGCUAGUGAGAGCUGUGUCUGAAGGACGCAGGGUGGUGUUGUACAUAGUAGAGAACUGGAGGAGGGGUAGGAAGGAACCCACCCAUCACGUUAAGCCUGCGGGCACCAUUCCAUUAUUCAGCAGGCAGUCGAGUACUGACAACGUGUCAGGCUCCAGAGAUACCAUCAGACAACUGGAAGAUGUUACCCCCUCUACAUCCCUUCUCUAUCCCUCCAUCUGCACGUUUGUACUGCACCCAAGGCUGUUGUCUGGUCGGGGGAGGUGUGCAGGAAGAAAGGACUGCAGGGCAGAAGGACAUCCUAACGGCCGUGUGUGACAUGUUUUAGGAGACGUGUUUAAUGAUGCCUAGUUCAAAGAGAUGGGGGAAUUUGCAAUUACAACCGAGUGCUUCCACUUCCAGCCAAAACGUGGUAUAACAGAAACUCAAUUUCCACUGCUGGCCCAAAUUGAAAUGCCUGAUAAAAUGCAUGGAACCCAAGAGUUUCCCAAAACGUUGGCCACCAUGCAAUCAAGGACAGUCAUCUUUGAGAGACAAAGGAGGUGAACUGUUGGGGCAGCCCCCCUUGUUCCCUAGAGAGACAGGUCCAGCUGCAGCAGAGGGAGCGGGGAGCCUCCGCAGGGCCCUCGGCCUCCUGAGCCGAGGAAAUAUGGGACUAGGUUCUGAGGAGACCAAGGCAACCGGAGUUCACAGGGUCGAGUGCUGGAGAGAAAGCUUCAGAGAAAGCUCUGGAGUUUGCAGAGGGCUCCCCUUGAGACACCCCUUGAACCCAGUACUGAUCAGUACAACUGCAAGGCAGUUAGUUACUCAAGGCUGAAGGGAGGACCUCUCGAAAAGACUAGAAGGAACAGUCGCUGCAACACAUACAUGGCUGGGACUAGUUCCUGUUCCCUCUAUUCAGAGAGGAAAACCUCCUUCAUUCAGGCCUUCCAGUAAUGGGUCAGAAAGGAUUUGCCUUCAUUGCAGAGC